This is a long non-coding RNA of Homo sapiens (human), 938 nucleotides long. NCBI's taxonomy places the organism in Eukaryota, Metazoa, Chordata, Mammalia, Primates, Hominidae. The record is from Ensembl.
AUGUUGGCCAGGCUGGUCUCGAAUUCCCGACCUCAAGUGAUCUGCCCGCCUCGGCCUCCCGAAGUGCUGCAAUUACAGGCGUGAGCCACCGCGCCCGGCCCAGAAACAUGUUUUGAAGGGCAGGCACCGCACAGGGUGCUGGAGACAGACUGAAGGAAACUGCACCUCUCAGUGACUCAAGAGAGAUUUGUUGAGUAUCUACCAAGUGCCUAGCGCUGUUCUUGUCCCUGGGGAUUCAGCCUCUGGAUUGGGACCUGCAGCCCAGAGAAGGGAAAUGGGGGAAAUCCAAGUUCCCAGGUACAUCAUGAUACCCUUCCAGCCUCUCCUUCCUGGAAAUUGCCAUCACCAGCGGCCAUAGCACCCCCAUGGGACCUGGGGGAUGGAGUUGGAAGCCCCCUCCGGCAACACUGGCCAGAUUGGAGAGACCAGCAGGGAAGCUCCCUCCUACCCCCAGGGAGGCUGAAGCCAGCUCUCCAUGGGCACGAAACCUGGAACCCAGGACCCUGGGGGGCAGGGCUAUGCUGGACUAGAGAAGACACAGGUGGCCAAAGCUGGACCCAGCCCUCAGGGAACAGAUAACCUGCGUGAGAAACAAAUAAUUGAUUCUGCCCUUUAUCCCUCCCGGGCCAGCACGGAGGGGUUCAGCCAAUGACUGGGAAUUGAAUGAAAAACCAAAGAGAACAGCCAUGAGAUCUGUCUGCUAUGGGUGGGAAAGCAGAUGGGAGAGUGAGAAGGGCUUCAAGGAGAAGGUGAUAUGUGAACAGGGCAUAAAUGGAUGAAUAGGAGUUUGCCAGGCACAGAAAGGGAAGGACAUUCCAGGGGAAGCAGGCAGAGGCCUGGCAAGGCAAAGGCCAGGAGGAUUGCAAGUAAAGUCAUGGUAUGAGCAGAAAACAAGAGAGGUCCAGUUGCCCAUGGCAUAGGAGAGGGGACAGGCCAAG